ACCCUAAAAAGUUCUAAGGGCAAAAAGGUUUGGUCCUAGCCCUACUAUCAAUUGUUUCUUAAAUUACACAUGCAAGUCUCAGCACCCCCGUGAGGACACCCUUAUCACCUUAACCAGGCUAAGGAGCUGGUAUCAGGCACAACAUUUGCCCACAACACCUAGUUUUACCACACCCCCAAGGGUAUUCAGCAGUGAUAAAUAUUGUUUAUAAGCGAUAGCUUGACUCAGUUAAAGAAAGUAGAGCCGGCCAACUCGGUGCCAGCCGCCGCGGCUAAACCGCAUGGGCUCAAAUUGAUAAUAAUCGGCGUUAAGCGUGAUUAAAGUCCUUCACAAUUAGAGUGAAACCCACACUUAGCUGUGAAAAGCUUGAUAUGAGAGAAGUUCAAAAACGAAAGUUACUCUAAUUAAUUACUUGAAUACACGACAGCUAGGAAACAAACUGGGAUUA
Molecule: ribosomal RNA, 448 nt
Filed under: Nanorana xuelinensis
Lineage: Eukaryota; Metazoa; Chordata; Amphibia; Anura; Dicroglossidae
Description: partial small subunit ribosomal RNA
Source: RNAcentral